AUCUGUUGGAACAAAUCCUAGCGAGACGAGGUAACAGGCGUGUAGCGGCCACACAAGGCUAAGGAAUGCAUAUGGAUGUUGAAUGACAGUGAAUGCUCUGCACUCGUGCUGGGUGCAGACGAGUAAAGAGCCGAGCACAAGCACCCCAUGAUCUGCGCAAACAAAGACGCGUGCGCGUGUAGAGAAGAGAUCUGUGACCGACAGCGGCAGCGCCAUCACCUCCUUUGGUCUCGCACGUUUUACUUCUUGAGAGCAAGUCAUCGACGACGCCGAAGACGAAUAGAAGCGUGUUAGCCUACAUGCCCGAGGCUCAGCACCUCAAUGAAGUCGGGAGGGCUACGCACAAUGCUACGAAUACGAGGUACACGACGGCACCAUUGGAUACAUGCGAGGACGAGCAGCAAUUCAGCCGCACGGAUGCAGCAGAGACGAGCUGCACGCAGUUGGUUGGGUAUACAGAUCCCAGCUACGGUUGCGGCACCUCGUACGCGCCGCCGCCAGCUCGCAGUCGUGCCGGUGAGCCGCUGUGACUGUAACACUUACUAGUACUAUCCGGAUGGAAGCGCCCACCCGUACGGGCACGCUGCUGCUGUGGAGGCGCCUCGCCAAGUUGCUCCAUUUCCCGCUGCCGCUUCUUAAGGUAGAGCUGUAGCCGAGGUCCCAGUGGAGGAUGUCGCACUGUCGCCGGAGUCUAUGAAGGUGACCCUUGCGCCUGCGAUCCCACGUGGGACAACCACGUUGGCCGUCGACACGCCGCUGGAGAGUUUUGCGGAGAUAUGCAGGUGUGAUUCACGACUGAGUAGUCGGCGACGCCGAUGCCGCGGUUGUGUCGGCGCAAGCUUUUCUACUCUCUGAUGCUCUACGUGAAGCCUUGGUGCGUGGCCGCUGCACACCGGCGUCCACUUCCUCAUAAAGGUUACAACGAGUACCGUAGCUGCGCUGGCGUACGAGAGACGGUAAGCGAGCAGCUCGCGCUGCCGAGGGACGCUGCUGUGCUUGCCCUGCGCGUUGCAUAGGGAUAGCGACAUGUGGGUGAAGCGCUAAAGCCAUAGGCCAACGUGCUGGGACAGUACAAUUGCCGGAUGCAGAUGUUUCUUACCUCUACUACGAUGCUGCUAGCACACUUCUUGCUGAUUCCCUGAGUCGGCUUGCGACUGGCUUUACGUGCUGCUGUACGCGUGCAUGCUGACUCAGCACCACCGUGAGCUGGACAUGCACGAGAGGGCCGCUGGGUGAGACGAGGUAUGAUGAUGUGAGUGUGUGUGUGGGGGGGGGGCGCAGCCCACGUUGUCUCAGCCAUCGCUCUUGCGCUGCCAGUGAUGCUCCCGAAUUUGUUUCAACCCAUUUCACGGAAUGAUGCGGGAAAAGCGCCGUCGCUUGCUGCCCACUCACUCACCUGUCUCUCGCAUGUGAUGUGGUAGCCGCCUCUCCUUCCACAGUUUAUGCACGUUUGGGUGCUGUGCUCGGGCUGUGUUUGUUAGGGUAGACACGGGUGGCGUGGCGAUGCCUCCCUCUAGCACUGUCGCUGAGCGUGUGCCUGUGAGCGUGCUCGAAUGUGAUGCACGCACGCCCGCGUGUGAUUCUCACUCCCUUUUUUCUCUGCUGUGGCCGAUUCGAUUCUGUGUCUCUCCCUAGCUCCCAUUAUCUCCAGCUUCCGCUUGUACCGCUCUUUGGCGAGCGGGGGUACGUCUUGUCCCCACCCCUCGAUGGAUGCGUUUGAUAACGGGCGCGUACGUCUGUGGGUGCUCUUGCUCUCUUCAUAGUUGUGGCGGCUGUGGUUCGCCUUCGGAGGCUCUUGGCCGUGUCGUUCGGCGCCCGUUUCGUUUACGCGCUUCCAUCCUCUUCCCUGCAUUUCUUACUUCUGCCGACGUUGAAGUGAUGACUGGUUGCCACUGCCGCAGCCACCGCUGACAGCCCUGUCUUUGUUCCAUUCGACUUUGUUUAUUCUUUACCCCCUUUUGGUUUCGCGCUUUACUUUUACCGUUCCAGCUACCAGAUCAUCUCAUGCCUCUCCUCUGCGCUGGUGGCGUCAGCACUGCUCUCGCCAUCCUCCGUUCCUCUUCCCCCCCCUCUCUGUAUCUGCAGAUGGCAUGCGGGUGCGGCCGUGUCGCAUAUGUCGCGCUCAUUUCACUUUUUUCUGCACCUUCUCUGCGUGUGCGUGGGUGUUGUUUUCCUUCUUUGCGGCGCCGCUGCACCUCCGUCUUUUGCUCUGUAUGUUUGACGAUGCGGCGUCCUCGCUGCGUUGACGCCCCCGCCGUAGACCUCUCUGCCGCUUAUCGGCAUCGCAGUGUCGUUUAU
Molecule: unclassified non-coding RNA, 2298 nt
Filed under: Leishmania donovani
Lineage: Eukaryota; Euglenozoa; Kinetoplastea; Trypanosomatida; Trypanosomatidae
Description: gene:unknown
Source: RNAcentral